CCGCCUGUGACGUCGCGAGAAGUCCACUGAACCUUAUCAUUUAGAGGAAGGAGAAGUCGUAACAAGGUUUCCGUAGGUGAACCUGCGGAAGGAUCAUUGUCGUUGCCUUUGGAUAACACGACCCGCGCACACGUUACGGAAAGCCGUCGGGGAGGACUCGCCUCCUCGGCCCCCAUCGGCCUUGGCCGGCCGCGCCCUCUGGGCGGUGCUGGUCAUGUGUCGGAAUACGGCGCAGGAUGACGCCAAGGAACACAUAUUUGCUGAGGCAGACGGCGAUCCCAYGCUCGGGUGUCGCGUCGGCUGUCGAGGCUCGGAAAAGGAAAAUAUGACUCUCGGCAACGGAUAUCUCGGCUCUCGCAUCGAUGAAGAACGUAGCGAAAUGCGAUACGUGGUGUGAAUUGCAGAAUCCCGUGAACCAUCGAGUCUUUGAACGCAAGUUGCGCCCGAGGGACCCUCCCGAGGGCACGCCUGCCUCAUGGGCGUUAGAAGCCCAUCCACGCUCGGAUGCCUUGCCUCGUGCAUUGCUUGAUGCGGACGCUGGCCCUCCGAGUCGCGAGAUGCGGUGGGCUGAAGUGUACGGCCGUCGGAUGGGGCUGGGAGCGGCGAGUGGUGGGCUGCUGCGCACGUCGCCCCCGACCCCCAUGUCGGCGUAUGGUUUGUUGGUUUGAACCCCUAACGAGGAGUUUGCUGUCGCGGCAUUACGUCGUGUGGCAUCUUCGGACCGAUACCCCAGGUCAGGCGGGGCCACCCGCUGAGUUUA
This 760-nucleotide ribosomal RNA is filed under the name Bolboschoenus caldwellii. RNAcentral's name for it is "eukaryotic LSU rRNA". The stretch from base 328 to 482 matches the Rfam family "5.8S ribosomal RNA". Lineage: Eukaryota; Viridiplantae; Streptophyta; Magnoliopsida; Poales; Cyperaceae. The record is from RNAcentral.